Molecule: long non-coding RNA, 1133 nt
Filed under: Phoenix dactylifera (date palm)
Lineage: Eukaryota; Viridiplantae; Streptophyta; Magnoliopsida; Arecales; Arecaceae
Description: long non-coding RNA (PDAC_LNC015774)
Source: RNAcentral
GUUUAUAAUUUAGAUAGUCUGCUAAUUAAUUAUUUAGUUGUGGAUUCUGUUGAAUAGAAGCUACUGCUGACUUGUUAUUCUUCUGCUCAGAUUGGUAGAUGAGCUUGUUCUUUUGUGCAAAGAAUCUGCAGUAAGAAAGAGCCGUGAAGUUAUCCGCAAUCACAUUUUACAAUUACUGUUGUUGAUUCAGAAGUAAGAAAAAAAUGCCCUAUUUAUUAAUUGAUUUCAUUUUACAAAGCAUUUCUUUAUACAUUUACUUUAUACACAUGUGAAAAUUUACUUGGGUUCUCAUGCUCCAAGUAAAUUUCUUGGGUUCUCCUGCUCCAAUAUACAUUUAUGACAUGACACAAGAAAAGAAUAUGAUAUGGCACAAGAAGCCCACUUGUGCCUUUCCCUUCAAAGCAACUGCAUUUAAUGAUAUGCAUUUAACGAGCAGAAAUAUCAAUGGUCCUGGGUUCUUAAAAGAUAAAUUCAUAAAAGAAAAAAAAAACACUUGACAGGAAGUAUACAUCAUAUGCUAAUGCCAUCACCAAAGCAUGAAGUAACAGAGGACGCUUGGUUAAUUUAUUAAUUUAUUUUUUUUUAGGAGGUACUCCUUGUCAUUUGCUGUCUAAUGUUUUUAAGGGAAUGCAAUGAAAUCUAGUAUGAUAAGGCUCUAAAGAUCAAUAUAACUGAAAGAAGUACAAGGAAUGCAACUUCAAUGAAAGCAGAUACAGAUAUGAUGCUCCAUUUCAAGGGAUAGCUAUAAAUUCUUCCACUAAACUCAUUUUAAUUUCAUUGGACCAAUCAAACAAAACAACAGAGAAGUAGACAACGAUGAGUUGUACCGAAUUAUAGAUGUGAUUAUAUGCAUUUUGGAAAUUAUGUAACCAGCACAUGCAUUAGAGAGUCGUAGUUAAGGCAGUAGAGCAUUCAGAAAGUUGAGUACAAAAUGUUGGGUAAUAAAGUUGAUCCAAUCAAAUGAGUGUGGUAAGGAUAUUAAAGCUCAAGGUAAUGCAUGGUGAGAAGAAAAGGUUACAAUGGUAGUGGGUGUAUGAUUGCAAUAGUUGAGGACAAAUGGAGAACAAUUUAUUGAAAUGGUAAAUGCAUGCAGAAUUAAAAAAAAAGGUGGUCCUUAUAUAUGAGUGAACCUU